GUACACACCGCCCGUCGCUCCUACCGUUGGAUUCGAAGGUGAGCUUGCCGGAUGAUUCACAAUCAGUUCUACUGUAUUGUGAACAGAAAUCAAACAAAUCUUCCURUCUGUAGGAAGGAGAAGUCGUAACAAGGUWKYCGUAGGUGAACCUGCAGAAGGAUCA
RNAcentral lists this ribosomal RNA (163 nucleotides) under uncultured eukaryote. RNAcentral describes it as "partial small subunit ribosomal RNA". The record is from RNAcentral.